Molecule: ribosomal RNA, 397 nt
Filed under: uncultured bacterium
Lineage: Bacteria
Description: bacterial SSU rRNA
Rfam family: Bacterial small subunit ribosomal RNA
Source: RNAcentral
GACGAACGCUGGCGGCGUGCUUAACACAUGCAAGUCGAGCGGUAAGGCCCUUUCGGGGGUACACGAGCGGCGAACGGGUGAGUAACACGUGGGUGACCUGCCCUUAGCUCUGGGAUAAGCCUGGGAAACUGGGUCUAAUACCGGAUAUGACUCCAUGACGCAUGUUGUGGGGUGGAAAGCCUUGUGCGGCUAGGGAUGGGCCCGCGGCCUAUCAGCUUGUUGGUGGGGUGAUGGCCUACCAAGGCGACGACGGGUAGCCGGCCUGAGAGGGCGACCGGCCACACUGGGACUGAGACACGGCCCAGACUCCUACGGGAGGCAGCAGUGGGGAAUCUUGCGCAAUGGGCGAAAGCCUGAUGCAGCGACGCCGCGUGAGGGAUGACGGCCUCGGUUGUAA